AUAAAAGACUAAACAAUACUAAAUUGAUUUAAGACAAUGAUUAUUUUGCAAUGGUCGGAGUUAUUGUCAUUUUUGGAUUUUAUCUUUCGAAUCUCUCGAUCGAAGCUUAUCGUCCUUACGAUAUCAUUUAUAACCUUUAUCUUUUCGUCAGUGAUGAGACUUUAGAACAGAAGAUACACAAUAUCAUGAAGUCCAUGAGUGGGCAAAAGAUUUGUUUUACGUGUGGUGGAGUCAUUAAUAUUAC
Molecule: long non-coding RNA, 244 nt
Organism: Centruroides sculpturatus (bark scorpion)
Lineage: Eukaryota; Metazoa; Arthropoda; Arachnida; Scorpiones; Buthidae
Exons: 4
Source: RefSeq, a predicted model, not a curated record